Molecule: unclassified non-coding RNA, 1133 nt
Filed under: Copidosoma floridanum
Lineage: Eukaryota; Metazoa; Arthropoda; Insecta; Hymenoptera; Encyrtidae
Description: cytochrome c oxidase assembly protein COX19, transcript variant X3
Source: RNAcentral
CGGUCUUGCACUUGGUCUUUGAUUUAUUUUUGCUUUUCCUUCUUUUCUCUCUUUUUGAUAACCUUUCAAGAGUAUACAUAUCUUAUAUUUACAAGUGCUAGUUUUUAACAGCAGCUAGUUAAUUAUCAAGUGGUUGAAAGUUUGUCAAUUGAAUUCUACUUAUGUCUCUGCCUAAAUGCAUCCUGAUCCAAGCACGAGUUGAUAGAAUCAUAGAAGCACAGGAUGUCUUCUGUCACUUUUUCGCAAAAGAAAUUUAUACCAGUACCUCCUGAAAAGGGUAGCUUUCCUCUGGAUCACGAAGGUCUCUGUCGCAAUCUUAUGGUCAAGUACAUGCGCUGUCUUUAUGAAAAUAAGAACGUUUCCUCCAACUGCAGAGAUAUAAGUAAAGAUUAUCUUGCGUGUCGUAUGGAAAAUGGAUUAAUGGCCCAAGAAGACUGGACAAAGCUCGGAUUCAACGAACAAGAAAUUGAAAAACAAAAGGAGCAAUGAGAAAGGUUUUCCGUCUUCGUCGUAGAGUGGAUUACCUGGAAUUGGCCUCAGCUGCAGAACAAAGAAAUUCUUCAAAAACCAUUAUCCUGGGUUCUCUUUGAUGUAUCAACGACGAGACGAGCACACACGUUUCAAUCCUAACGGAUCCUGAACAGAUUAAGUUACGCGAUCUCGUGUUUUAUAUGAAUAUAUACAAACAAUAUAUAUUUACAUACAAAAAUAUAUAUAUACAUUAAAUAGAGGAAAAUAUCAGUAAUAUUAAAAUAAAUAUAUGUAUACAAACAGAUAAAAUUAUAUGUAUACAAACGUUAAUGGGGUGUGUGUCGUUGAAAACGGCUUGAAAGCUCGUGCUAGCCACGGUUUAAAAAACUGAAUUUUCGAUAAAAUUAACAUAUCAUUUAAAAAAAAAAACUAAAGUUUACAAUAACUCACGCUUGAAACAAAAACUACAGUCUAACCGAUACGUUAUUAUUGUUAAAAUCCAUCGCAUAAUUCAUGUAUAAAAGCUUCAGCCAAGAAAAAUAAAUCAUUUACAUAAAUUGAAAAAACAAUACUCAUAGCUUUCGCAUAUUUCUCCUGCUGUCGUGAGUAGCGUUGGGAUUUCAAUUAAAACCUUAAAAAAAAAAAAAAAAAAAAAAAAAAAA